Molecule: ribosomal RNA, 522 nt
Filed under: Polycentropsis abbreviata
Lineage: Eukaryota; Metazoa; Chordata; Actinopteri; Polycentridae
Description: partial 16S large subunit ribosomal RNA
Rfam family: Bacterial large subunit ribosomal RNA
Source: RNAcentral
GUCUUGCCUGCCCUGUGACAUAAACUGUUUAACGGCCGCGGUAUUCUGACCGUGCAAAGGUAGCGCAAUCACUUGUCUUUUAAAUGAAGACCUGUAUGAAUGGCAUAACGAGGGCUAAGCUGUCUCCUUUUUCCAGUCAAUGAAAUUGAUCUCCCCGUGCAGAAGCGGGGAUGACCACAUAAGACGAGAAGACCCUAUGGAGCUUUAGACACUAAAACAGAUUUUAUAACCCCUCCCCUGACACGGGGACAAGUAAAUAAAAAACCUGUCCUUAUGUCUUUGGUUGGGGCGACCGCGGGGAAACAAAAAACCCCCACGUGGAAUGAGAAUAUCUUCCCUAAACUAAGAGCCACAGCUCUAAUUAACAGAACUUCUGACCAUACGAUCCGGCAUACGCCGAUCAACGAACCGAGUUACCCUAGGGAUAACAGCGCAAUCCUCUUUUAGAGCCCAUAUCGACAAGAGGGUUUACGACCUCGAUGUUGGAUCAGGACAUCCUAAUGGUGCAGCCGCUAUUAAGGG